Molecule: ribosomal RNA, 468 nt
Filed under: uncultured bacterium
Lineage: Bacteria
Description: partial 16S ribosomal RNA
Rfam family: Bacterial small subunit ribosomal RNA
Source: RNAcentral
GACGAACGCUGGCGGCGUGCUUAACACAUGCAAGUCGAACGGAAAGUCCCUGAUUUGGUGGGGGUCUCGAGUGGCGAACGGGUGAGUAACACGUGAGUAACCUGCCCUGGACUAUGGGAUAACUUCAGGAAACUGGGGCUAAUACCGGGUAGGAGCUCGUGCUGCAGGGUGGGGGGUGGAAAGUUUCGGCGGUUGGGGAGGGACUCGCGGCGUAUCAGCUUGUUGGUGAGGUAGUGGCGUACGAAGGCUUUGAUGGGUAGCCGGACUGGGAGGGUGACCGGCCACAUUGGGCCUCGGGUACGGCCCAGACGCCUACGGGAGGCAGCGGUGGGGAAUAUUGCACAAUGGGCGGAAGCCUGAUGCAGCAACGCCGCGUUCGGGAUGACGGCCUUCGGGUUGUAACCCGCUUUUGCCUGUUACGAAGCGUGAGUGACGGUAAUGGGUAAAGAAGCACCGGCUAACUACGUG